AUUUUAAUGCAGCCAAAGACUGUCUCAAGCCAGUAGAAUGCAGAGAGUUAU
RNAcentral lists this non-coding RNA (51 nucleotides) under unclassified sequences. The record is from RNAcentral.